Staphylococcus haemolyticus JCSC1435 is the source of this 152-nucleotide small RNA. It matches the Rfam family "RNA S.aureus Orsay G". Lineage: Bacteria; Bacillati; Bacillota; Bacilli; Caryophanales; Staphylococcaceae. The record is from Rfam.
GUAACAGGGGAGAACGAAUUCAAACAAAGGGGUAGAAGCUAUAUAACAGAUAGCUUGUUGUGAAUCGUUCAAGUUACAUCGAAACAUCUUCAAUAUUUAUUACUUACUUUCCUUUCUAUUUGUCGGCUAGCAGAUGACUAGCCGAUUUUUUU